Long non-coding RNA from Sapajus apella (tufted capuchin), 1094 nucleotides. RefSeq lists it as uncharacterized. The record is from RefSeq and is a predicted model, not a curated record. The transcript is spliced from 3 exons. Lineage: Eukaryota; Metazoa; Chordata; Mammalia; Primates; Cebidae.
UUGCCAUGUCACAUCUCUCAUCAGAGAAGGAAUAUCACAUUCCAUAUUUCUUCAUUUUACUCUUUUCUUUUUCCCACUCAUACUCCAGAUUGAAAACUUAGCUAGGUAAAGAAUUGGUCCAAAUCUUAGUUGAGUUACAGACACAUUAUUCUCAGCAAAAUAAAUCUUGAGUUUAAAUUCCAUUAUUUUGUAUAAUUUUUUAAAAUUCAAUCUUGGCAAAACAUGCAUAUUUUAUAGAUAUGACCUAUAAUUUUUCCCUGGACGUUUGUGUUUGGCAGGAGUUCACAGACUUUGCUAACAAUUUUAACAGAUAUGCUUUAAUUUAAUAACCGCAAUUUGGUAAUUAGCUGGAGUAGCAUUUCAAAGUGCAAUUGAUAUGAUUUGGCUGGAUUCAUCUGUAUUCUAGAAAAUACAGGGCAGUCAUGUACAUACUGGUGGUGUUACUCUCUUCAUAUUCAUACUUUUACCUUGGAUUCCUGAGACACAGAGUUUUUUAUAUUCUGCCGCAGUCUACUCCCAAAACAUCACUGAUGACAAUAAUAAUACUUGAAAACAAUAAUAAUACUUGAAAACAUUUCCUCUCAAGUUCCAAAGUUUUCAGUCAGUAGCAAAAAAAGAAAGAAGAAAUUUUAAAGGCGCUGAGAAAAGCCCAGGGCUCGCAGCUAGUUUCAGCAACUUCAACUUGCGUAAGACCCCAUGUUUGUGAAAACAACCCAAGAAUCUGAACAGGAUGUAAUCAACCUCCGAUCUGCGGAGAAGUACUGCAAAAAUGACUUCAGCUGCCAAAAAUAAUAACGUCGUUUACAAGCAGCUCUUCCUAUGUCUAAGGAAGAACUAGUCACACAUGCGAGUUUUUGCUGGCUUGAGAACAAGCAAGGAAAAAGACAAAUCCCACCUCCCCUAGCCUAAAAUACACAGAGUCCCAGAACCCCGUGGAAGCUGUGGCUCAUUCCUAAAGGCGCUGGCAAUAUCGAGGAAGACUUGUAUCCACAAAAUUCCAAAUGGGAGUAAACUCGAAGCCUGAAAUUUAAGCAGUUCUUUGGCGAUCAGGAGAUGGCAAACACAAGCACAAAGGCCUACAAGAAUAAUUAUCA